Molecule: small nucleolar RNA, 214 nt
Organism: Ailuropoda melanoleuca (giant panda)
Lineage: Eukaryota; Metazoa; Chordata; Mammalia; Carnivora; Ursidae
Gene: U3
Rfam family: Small nucleolar RNA U3
About the family: Small nucleolar RNAs (snoRNAs) are involved in the processing and modification of rRNA in the nucleolus.
Source: Ensembl
AAGAGGAGAGUUUCCCGGGUGAUUUCUAUGUUUCGUUACUAGAGAAGUUUUUGUGAUUAUGUAGAGUAACUGAAACCAUGAGGAAGAGGUGCGGUGUCCUUUCUGAGCGUGAAGUUGGCUCUGGGUGUUGUUCUUACUGCUGCAUUUUGUCGUUGAUGAUUGUUCUUGUUUCUCUUCGGGAGCAAGUAGAGGGAAGGGACUCCAUGUGAGUGGU